This 72-nucleotide transfer RNA is filed under the name Candidatus Nomurabacteria bacterium. Its description in RNAcentral is "tRNA-Glu". It matches the Rfam family "tRNA". From Rfam's summary of the family: Transfer RNA (tRNA) molecules are approximately 80 nucleotides in length. Their secondary structure includes four short double-helical elements and three loops (D, anti-codon, and T loops). Further hydrogen bonds mediate the characteristic L-shaped molecular structure. tRNAs have two regions of fundamental functional importance: the anti-codon, which is responsible for specific mRNA codon recognition, and the 3' end, to which the tRNAs corresponding amino acid is attached (by aminoacyl-tRNA synthetases). tRNAs cope with the degeneracy of the genetic code in two manners: having more than one tRNA (with a specific anti-codon) for a particular amino acid; and 'wobble' base-pairing, i.e. permitting non-standard base-pairing at the 3rd anti-codon position. The record is from RNAcentral. Lineage: Bacteria; Candidatus Nomuraibacteriota.
GAUCCCAUCGUCUAACGGUUAGGACACCAGGUUUUCAUCCUGGAAAUCGGGGUUCGAUUCCCCGUGGGAUCA